RNAcentral lists this transfer RNA (69 nucleotides) under Lentipes armatus. RNAcentral describes it as "tRNA-Met". It matches the Rfam family "tRNA". From Rfam's summary of the family: Transfer RNA (tRNA) molecules are approximately 80 nucleotides in length. Their secondary structure includes four short double-helical elements and three loops (D, anti-codon, and T loops). RNAcentral also lists the same sequence under 4 other names. Lineage: Eukaryota; Metazoa; Chordata; Actinopteri; Gobiiformes; Gobiidae. The record is from RNAcentral.
AGCAAGGUCAGCUAAAUAAGCUUUUGGGCCCAUACCCCAAACAUGUUGGUUAAAGUCCUUCCCUUGCUA